GCUUGUGUCAAAUCUGCUGAAGGUGAUAAACUUCUGUCACAGCGGCCAUUACUGAUGACAUCAUCAGGAAACAGCAGGAAGAAGUGGGAGCUCCUUGUGUUAGCUCCAGCGGUGCUGACAGCGAGGAGCUGCCCAGUGCUGUCACUGUCAGCCCGGAGAACAUGAGCGCUGCUGCCGCGUCAUCCACCAGAAAUGCAGGUCCAGAUGUGAGAACACGACAGCUGUGAGUUACAGGACACAAAGACGACGGACGGACGGACGGAAGACGUUUCAUAUUCACGUACGAUAUGAAGGAGGCCGAAUAUUCUGCUGAGAGAAGGUGAAUAACUCUAAAACACAGAGAAAGAAACACAUCAGGUUACAGAAGUCUGUGUGUGUGUGUGUGUGUGUGUGUGUGUGUGUGUGUGUGUGUGUGUGUGUGUUGUUGACAUUCAUGCAGAGACGACAGACAAGCUGCUGCCUGUCUGUCUCUGCUGCGGGGAAAAACACACUCACAGGUUACCGAACA
Long non-coding RNA from Acanthopagrus latus (yellowfin seabream), 508 nucleotides. RefSeq lists it as uncharacterized. The record is from RefSeq and is a predicted model, not a curated record. The transcript is spliced from 3 exons. Lineage: Eukaryota; Metazoa; Chordata; Actinopteri; Spariformes; Sparidae.